GACCUGGUCAAGAGAAGCCUGGCACCAGAUGCUUUUAUCAGUAGCGCACUUAUUGACAUGUACGCCAAAUCAAUGGUCAUCUCUGAUGCUAGGGAGGUUUUUAACAGAGUUGAACAUAAGGACUUGAUCACCUGGAAUGCGAUGAUUUCUGGGUCGGCACAAAAUGGUUAUUUGGAUGAAGUACUGAAACUACUUUACAGGAUGAGAGAAGAGAACAUCAAGCCAGAUAAUUUUACCUUUGCCAGUAUUUUUGCAGCAUGCACAAAUGCCAUGGCGAUGCAACAGGGAAGACAGGUCCAUGGUCUGGUCCUGAAAUCAGAACUUAAAACAGAUGCAGCUGUAGCCAAUUCACUUAUAACCAUGUAUUGCAGAGCAGGGAACAUAAGGGAAGCAAGAAAGGUUUUCUCUGAGCUUUCCGUCAAGAAUGUAAUAUCUUGGACAGCAAUGAUUGGAGGUUGUGUGCAGAGUGGUUAUUCGAGGGAGGCUCUUGAAAUCUUCGAGCAAAUGGAGAGAGCUGCAGUGAGACCAAAUGCCAAAACCUUCAUUGCGGUAUUGACAGCUUGCAGCUAUGCAGGUUUGAGAAGGGAAGCUGGAAAGUUCUUUAAGAUGAUGGAGACUAAAUAUGGGAUUAGACCUGGAUUUAAUCACUACUCUUGCAUGAUUGACAUUCUCGGGCGAGCAGGAAAAUUAAAGCAAGCAGAAAACUUGAUAGAAGGAAUGCCUUUCGAACCAGAUGCACUAGUAUGGAGAAUAUUGCUGAGUGCUUGCAGAAUUCAUGGUGAUGCUGAAAGAGGAAGGAGGGCCAUGGAAAAGAUACUGGCCCUUGAACCUGGUGAUUCUGCAGCUUAUGUGUUGCUCUCUAAUUUGUAUGCCUCCUUAGGCAACUGGGAUGGAGUUGAGGAAGUCCGACAAAUGAUGAGAGUUAAUGGGGUGAAGAAAGAGCCAGGAAAAAGUUGGAUUGAGCUAAAUGCUAAAGUCCAUGAGUUCAUGGCAGGUGAUUCUUUGCAUCCACAAAAAGAAGAAAUAUGUUUGAGGCUGAGAGAGUUGCUCAAACAGAUGAAGGAUGAAGGAUAUAUUCCUGGUAUAGAACAUGCUGUAAGAUAAGAGGUAAUUAUGGAAUCAUUCUGUUAGAAUUCUCAGCUAUACAGAAUCCCUUUGUAGCAGCAACAAAGAUGAUGAACCUGCAGGAGAUCUUGACUUCUCAGAAUUGAAGUUAAUGGGGUCAUGCAUUAGACUGACCACCCAAUAAUUCAUGUUUAAUUGAUCAAAGUUGUUUGAGAACCACAGAGAAACUUAUGAUGCACGUUAGAGUUACAUUAAAGACAAAAGAACCUCAAUUUUCAACUUGAGAUCUUGAGAAGGGGAAGAUCCAAAGAGAAGCCUGGCAGAAAACUUGUGACAAGUUGGGAAGUGCAAAGAGUCCUAGAAUUAAAACUAUUUCAAAUGUAUAGCAUAAAUUACUAAUUUAGUGAUCAAAAUAAUAUUGAUGAAAAACUAAUCAUUGUUUUUACAGAUUUUACCUUCAAAUAAUUGGUGGUUGUGGAGUUUUAUUGGUUGUACAUAUUUUUACAAAGACAACAAUUUUUUGUCAAUUUAUAUAAAAGACUCUCUAUCUUACAUGGAUCCUGAGGCUUAAGCUUUUAACUCAUGUUUCUGUGAUACAUGUAAAUUGCUAUAAUACAAGUUUCUAUCAUACAUGUUGGUUGCUAUAACUCAAGUCUUGCUUUAGCUUUUACUCAUUUUAUGCUCUAAGACAUUGAUCCAAACCUUGGAAACUAUCAUUUUUGCUAACUUAAGUACACUAGUUUUAGAAUUAUACUCUUGUGGAUGAUUCCAGUUCCUUCUUUUGUUCAAUAUUAUCCAUUUAAUAAUUCAAUCUCAUUAAUGGAAACUUUUGUUUCCACAAAAAAGGAAACAACAAAGACAUAUGAAUCAUGCAUAUCAAAUUGUUGCAUCAUGAAGUUGCAAUAACAUUCCAAGAGCAAUACAAGGAACCUAUGAAUCACAUCAUAUCAUUCUUCAAAAGAUAUGACUAAAUUAAAUUUAAAUCAUCUAGAAGUAUAAAUUAGUUUCCUGUUGAUUACAUAAGAGAGGACUCUCAGAAUUUACAAGUAAUUAAAGAUGAAAAAACUCCUAGUGAAGACCCAAAACAACAAAAGAAAAAGGCAUAUGAAGAGGAGAAAGAUUAAGAAAGUGUUGUUUACUUUUUUAUUUGGAUAAACUGCUAUUUAGAAAUUGUGCAGUUUCUUAUAACUGUUUACCUCAGAGGCUGCGCAGGAAGACUAUGGUGGUGCAGCCGACAGAAGUUGGUGGUGGCUGAGGGUGGUGCGGUGUGGGGGAGCAGUAUGAGACUGGCCGGUGGCCGGAGCCCCAGCAGCCGCCUGGUGGUGAAGCGGUGGCCACAAG
This 2406-nucleotide long non-coding RNA is filed under the name Musa acuminata (dwarf banana). Its description in RNAcentral is "long non-coding RNA (MACU_LNC001478)". Lineage: Eukaryota; Viridiplantae; Streptophyta; Magnoliopsida; Zingiberales; Musaceae. The record is from RNAcentral.